CACGGGGGUUGCAAGCGUUGUCCGGAAUUACUGGGCGUAAAGGGCGUGUAGGCGGCCUUUAAAGUCAGCUGUGAAAUCCCUUGGCUUAACUGAGGGCUUGCAGUUGAAACUUAAAGGCUUGAGUGCAGGAGAGGAAGGUGGAAUUCCCAGUGUAGCGGUGAAAUGCGUAGAUAUAGGAAGGAACACCGGUUGCGAAGGCGGCUUACUGGCUGGUAACUGACGCUGAGGCACGAAAGCGUGGGGAUCGAACAGG
RNAcentral lists this ribosomal RNA (253 nucleotides) under uncultured bacterium. RNAcentral describes it as "partial 16S ribosomal RNA". It matches the Rfam family "Bacterial small subunit ribosomal RNA", at positions 524 to 776 of the family's 1533-position model. The record is from RNAcentral.